RNAcentral lists this ribosomal RNA (425 nucleotides) under uncultured bacterium. RNAcentral describes it as "partial 16S ribosomal RNA". It matches the Rfam family "Bacterial small subunit ribosomal RNA", at positions 354 to 796 of the family's 1533-position model. The record is from RNAcentral.
GUGGGGAAUCUUGCGCAAUGGGCGAAAGCCUGACGCAGCCAUGCCGCGUGAAUGAUGAAGGUCUUAGGAUUGUAAAAUUCUUUCACCGGGGACGAUAAUGACGGUACCCGGAGAAGUAGCCCCGGCUAACUUCGUGCCAGCAGCCGCGGUAAUACGAAGGGGGCUAGCGUUGCUCGGAAUUACUGGGCGCAAAGGGCGCGUAGGCGGACAGCUUAGUCAGAGGUGAAAGCCCAGGGCUCAACCAUGGAAUUGCCUAUGAUACUGGCUGUCUUGAUGUUGGAAGAGGAGAGUGGAACGCCGAGUGUAGAGGUGAAAUUCGUAGAUAUUCGGAAGAACACCAGUGGCGAAGGCGACUCACUGGCCCAAUACUGACGCUGAGGCGCGAAAGCGUGGGGAGCAAACAGGAUUAGAUACCCCGGUAGUCC